Long non-coding RNA from Anas platyrhynchos (mallard), 2324 nucleotides. RefSeq lists it as uncharacterized. The record is from RefSeq and is a predicted model, not a curated record. NCBI's taxonomy places the organism in Eukaryota, Metazoa, Chordata, Aves, Anseriformes, Anatidae.
UCUUCCAGCAAGGGAACUGGGGGCAGGAGUGGGAAAAGGAGCGAGAACAAUGCUGAGGCUCAAGCUCAAGAGGAGGCCGGGCUGUGUGACUUGGGCUGCUGGCUGGAGAGCAGGAACCUGGUGGGGCAUGCUGCUCCCAUUAAUCAGCUGGUGCAGCCCUGGGUGUCAGCAGCAGGGCUGACAGGGGAGCCAGGAUCUAAUAAAACCCUGACAGGCUGAAAGGGAGACUGAGCCUCCUGCCUGUCUCUCUCUUCUUUGAAGUGUGGGGUAAAGGUUGGGGGAGAACAAAAAGACACUGAUGAUUGAUAACAACCUAAUAUCUUUGCACAGCUUUAUCAGGCUUUUUAACUAAUGACUGAGGCAAUAUCACCUCUACAAAAUCAAUCAUCAUGUCAUAGAAGUCUGAAACACUACAAAAUUAAGUGCCUGCCCCAGGGAUAUAGAGCAUGUGUCAUGUUUAAAGUGAACCUAAUUCCAUUGGGGGUCCCUGGAUGUUAUUUUUUACUUUUGUUUCCCUAGGAGAUAUUCAGAGAUGAAGAGACAUGGCAUGAGAAUCCAGAAUUUGUGCCUUUCCUUAAAGAAGUGAGUCAAGUAAAUUCAGCUGCCUUUAACUCAUCAGAGUUGAAUGCUUAUCACACAGAAGUGAAAUCAGUGACAUAAAUAAUAUAAUCACAAACACCUGUGAGGGAACAACCCUGCAGAAGUUGUACAGGAUGGACGAUACAACCUAGCUCCUUCCCAAGGUGCCUGGUAGUUCCUCAACAGAAAGGCAAACAAACCCCACGUAUUAGAUUCUCUGUCCUCAGAGGGAUCACUACAAACUGCCUCUUUUUUUCAACUUCAGCAGCAUGUGUCUGGGAAGCAUCUGUUUUGAGCCAGCAUCCUCAAAUGCAGACAAAGAGCAAGCAGGUGCCUGCAACACUGCAUACUCCUUGGUCGUCACUGGGAACCCUUCCCCUUCCCCAUGAGGCUGCACUGGGCCAUCGAUUGAUGGUGACAUCAAACAUGGGAUCAUGACUUCACUAUAGGAUCAAGAAGGAUUAGCUUUGCACUGCGGAAGUUAAGAUCUACUGCAAACAGAUAGCUGCAACAAUUGCAAAGAGAAUUUACUGCAGGGUACUUUAUUGGUCGUGUAAAUGUUCUUGUUUACUCCAGUAUGAAAAUCCCUUUAAAUCAACCAGCUGUUUGUAAAUUAAGCACAAAUGGAUUAGCUUUAAAACAAGCUCAUGGAUUUAAGAUGGGGUUUGCACUCACCCCAGUUCUGAGCACAUUUGGGCCUACAGGUUCCACCUUUGCUACGAAAGAAAGCAAGCAGGGCAUUGCAAUAGCCUUCCCUCACCAGAACCGGGAGGACGUUUACCUGCUUUAAACAGGUUACAGCAUGAGGGGAGCACGUAGACUGGUAAUUUUCAUUGAAAAUUCUGCUUUAAGUAUCUGAAAACCUUGCGGGUACAGUUAUUUAAUUCCAUGAGAUUCUCCUUCUUAAGGGAGGACGCUUAAAGUGAUGAAUUCCCUGGCCUUUCACCUUUAAGUCACUGAAACAGGACCAAACAGAGGGUCCCUAGCUUUGAAGGCCUCUCUGGAGACAUCUGUUUAUUAUUAACUGUCCCUAGCAAGAGCUAACUCUUGGUAGCUUGAUAUGCAGUCAACAAAGCAGCUUCCCCUAAGGAGAAAUACGGAGAUGGAUCUUCCCAGGACACAGCUGAGUCUGCUGGUGGGAUAUGCAAAGGCACGUUUUGAAGCUGCUUUGAGGACUCUUGCAGGUGGGAGAAGAGACAAAAGCCCUGUUAGAAGCAGCAAGGGAAGGCGCUGCCCCUCGGGAUCCACCUUUACAGAAAGCUCCAAACCGAUCCUGCUCCUCUGACAGGUGCCCAGGAGCAGGAACUCCACAGGCAGAUACUGCUGCACAGUAACAGCCUGGUUUGCUACGUACCUGCACUGGACGGUACAACUGUUUGGUUACUGACACACAUCUUUUCAUGGCAGUGGAUGCCGAGUCCUUUCAAGAAGUGAUAUUUAACUUUCUGAUGAGCAUUACAAUGAAUUUGAAUUCUGCUGGACUACAGCAUUCUCUGUACCUCCACAGAUGAUUUUUAUUUUGGAACUGUGCCAGAUUCGACAGCUUUUCUGCCUCAAGAAGCACUAAGUUCACUGCUGUGAGCAUGCCCCACUGUUGCACGGCCCUGCCCUGAGAGAACCACCAUCACAGGCUAUAAAGGUAAUUCGGAUUUCACGCCCAGUCACUCUCAUGCCUCUUUGUUGAGAUGCCAACUAGGGUACAAAAUUCUGUUCCACUCUCAGAGUUCUCUUUUACAUGGACACAU